Molecule: ribosomal RNA, 432 nt
Filed under: uncultured microorganism
Description: bacterial SSU rRNA
Rfam family: Bacterial small subunit ribosomal RNA
Source: RNAcentral
GAGUUUGAUCAUGGCUCAGGAUGAACGCUGGCGGCGUGCCUAAUACAUGCAAGUCGAGCGAACGGACGAGAAGCUUGCUUCUCUGAUGUUAGCGGCGGACGGGUGAGUAACACGUGGAUAACCUACCUAUAAGACUGGGAUAACUUCGGGAAACCGAGCUAAUACCGGAUAAUAUUUUGAACCGCAUGGUUCAAAAAGUGAAAGACGGUCUUGCUGUCACUUAUAGAUGGAUCCGCGCUGCAUUAGCUAGUUGGUAAGGUAACGGCUUACCAAGGCAACGAUGCAUAGCGACCUGAGAGGGUGAUCGGCCACACUGGAACUGAGACACGGUCCAGACUCCUACGGGAGGCAGCAGUAGGGAAUCUUCGCAAUGGCGAAAGCCUGACGGAGCAACGCCGCGUGAGUGAUGAAGGUCUUCGGAUCGUAAAACUC